Molecule: non-coding RNA, 286 nt
Filed under: Phascolarctos cinereus (koala)
Lineage: Eukaryota; Metazoa; Chordata; Mammalia; Diprotodontia; Phascolarctidae
Source: RNAcentral
CUCAGCUGGGCAUGGUAAUCCCUACUACUGAGGGGAAGGUCUCAGAUCUCCUGAACUCAGGAGUUCUAAGCUGCAAAGGGCUAAGGUGAUUGGGUGUCCACACAAAGUUUAGCAUUUAUAUUGUGAGCCCCUGGGAGUGGUAGGUUAGCAUAUUGCUUAAGGAGGGAUGUAGCAGCCCAGGUCAGAAAUGGAUCGGGUCAAAACUCCCAUGCUGAUCGGAAUAGGAUUGAGCCAUGCGGUAGCCCCUGUACUACCAGCCUGGGUGAAAUAGGGAAACCCAAUCUUU